AUUGAACGCUGGCGGCAUGCUUUACACAUGCAAGUCGAACGGUAACAGGCCUUCGGGUGCUGACGAGUGGCGAACGGGUGAGUAAUGCAUCGGAACGUGCCCAAUCGUGGGGGAUAACGUAGCGAAAGUUACGCUAAUACCGCAUAAGCCCUGAGGGGGGAAAGUGGGGGACCGCAAGGCCUCACGCGAAUGGAGCGGCCGAUGUCAGAUUAGCUAGUUGGUGGGUAAAGGCCCACCAAGGCGACGAUCUGUAGCGGGUCUGAGAGGAUGAUCCGCCACACUGGGACUGAGACACGGCCCAGACUCCUACGGGAGGCAGCAGUGGGGGAAUUUUGGACAAUAGGCGCAAGCCUGAUCCAGCCAUGCCGCGUGCGGGACGAAGGCCUCGGUUGUAA
This 395-nucleotide ribosomal RNA is filed under the name uncultured bacterium. RNAcentral's name for it is "bacterial SSU rRNA". It matches the Rfam family "Bacterial small subunit ribosomal RNA", at positions 29 to 428 of the family's 1533-position model. The record is from RNAcentral.